ACACCUCAACUCUCAUGGUUUGCCAUGAUGAGCUUGGACUUUGGGGGUCUUGCUGGCCUAUGGUCAGCUCCCCUAAAAUGAAUCAGCUUGCCAGUGUUUGGUGGGAUCACAGGUGUGAUAACUAUCUAUGCUUGUGGCCUUCCACCAAUCAACUUCCAGCAAUGGAGGUUCGCUGGAGCUCAUAAACGUCUCUCCUCAGUGAGGACAGCUCUUUUGAAU
This 219-nucleotide unclassified non-coding RNA is filed under the name uncultured Tomentella. RNAcentral's name for it is "sequence contains ITS2". The record is from RNAcentral. Lineage: Eukaryota; Fungi; Basidiomycota; Agaricomycetes; Thelephorales; Thelephoraceae.